Molecule: long non-coding RNA, 584 nt
Organism: Salvia splendens (bonfire salvia)
Lineage: Eukaryota; Viridiplantae; Streptophyta; Magnoliopsida; Lamiales; Lamiaceae
Exons: 2
Source: RefSeq, a predicted model, not a curated record
AAAUUAGGCAUAUUUAAAGUCACAUUUGUUUUUCAGCCCACUUUAUUUAAAUUCGGUCCGAUUAUUCAUUCCAGCCCAACAAAGAAGAAGUGGCCCAAAUAUUGAUAUAUAUAUACAAAAACUAUCCCUUCAUCCGUUUAGAAACCGUAACCCUAAUUGGAGGAGAGAGAGAGGAUCCUCCAAACCGAGAGAGAGAGAGAGAGGCGGCAGGGGAGGAGAACGCGAACGCAGCCGGAGGUAGAGUUCUCCUCCAUUCCGCCGCCUCUCUCUCUCAGUUUCAUGCCGCCGCGGCUGUAUACGGCCGGAUCUGGGCCGUCCACUGCUCUACAAGGGCGACCGCCGCCGUCGCCGUCCUCCUCGUGCCCACGAUCGGAUCUAGUUUGAUGAUUGUAUUGGGCAUUUAUCUCUAAUGGUUAGUAGAGCGCCAUUUAUUUAUCUGUAAUAGUAAUUAGGCCAUGUAUUUAUCUGUAAUACUAGUAAUUAGGCCAUUUAUUUAUCUGUUAUAGUAAUUAGGCAAUUUAUAUCUGUAAUAGUAAUUAGUUACCCCUUAAUCCCCCUAUUUACGGUGAUGCUUUGUGUUUUAA